Lineus longissimus is the source of this 318-nucleotide long non-coding RNA. RefSeq lists it as uncharacterized. The transcript has 3 exons. NCBI's taxonomy places the organism in Eukaryota, Metazoa, Nemertea, Pilidiophora, Heteronemertea, Lineidae. The record is from RefSeq and is a predicted model, not a curated record.
CCGAUGGCAUCACCUCGUGGAGCUGGUGGAGUUUGCACUUGCUCUCCGAGAAACCUUAGAGAAGAUCAACUCACAGUCAUUUAAUAACUUUAUCCUCAGAAUAGGAAUAAACCAGGGGCCAAUCGUAGCAGGCGUGAUAGGGGCGAGAAAGCCUCAUUACGAUAUCUGGGGAAAUGCUGUGAAUGUCGCCAGCCGGAUGGAGUCUACUGGAAAAUCAGGGCACAUUCAGGUUGUCGAAGAAACGAUGAUUAUCCUUCAAGAGUUUGGCUAUAAGUUCGAGAAGAGGGGCUUGGUCAAGGUCAAAGGAAAGGGAGAGCU